UAUCCUGGCUCAGGAUCAACGCUGGCGGCGCACAUAAGACAUGCAAGUCGAACGAACUUAACCUCUUGCUUGCAAGAGGAGCGGUUAGUGGCGGACUGGUGAGUAACACGUAAGAAAUCUGCCUAUCAGAGGGGAAUAACAGUGAGAAAUCAUUGCUAAUACCGCAUAUGCCAUAAUUAUCGCAUGAUAAUAGUGGGAAAGGAGCAAUCCGCUGAUAGAUGAGCUUGCGUCUGAUUAGCUAGUUGGUGGGGUAAAAGCCUACCAAGGCGACGAUCAGUAGCCGGACUGAGAGGUUGAACGGCCACAUUGGGACUGAGAUACGGCCCAGACUCCUACGGGAGGCAGCAGUCGGGAAUAUUGCGCAAUGGAGGAAACUCUGACGCAGUGACGCCGCGUAUAGGAAGUAAGGUUUUCGGAUUGUAAACUAUUGUCCACAGGGAAGAAAAAAGACUGUACCUGUGAAGAAAGCUCCGGCUAACUACGUG
RNAcentral lists this ribosomal RNA (485 nucleotides) under uncultured Eubacteriales bacterium. RNAcentral's name for it is "bacterial SSU rRNA". It matches the Rfam family "Bacterial small subunit ribosomal RNA", at positions 15 to 507 of the family's 1533-position model. Lineage: Bacteria; Bacillati; Bacillota; Clostridia; Eubacteriales. The record is from RNAcentral.